Molecule: ribosomal RNA, 800 nt
Filed under: uncultured bacterium
Lineage: Bacteria
Description: bacterial SSU rRNA
Rfam family: Bacterial small subunit ribosomal RNA
Source: RNAcentral
AACGAACGCUGGCGGCGUGCCUAACACAUGCAAGUCGAGCGCGAAAGGUGGCCUUCGGGCCGCCGAGUAGAGCGGCAGACGGGUGAGUAACACGUGGGUAACCUGCCCCUGGGUGGGGGAUAACCACUCGAAAGGGUGGCUAAUACCGCAUGGGGCCCAGAUCUUGCGGGGUCUGGGUCAAAGGUCCUUCGGGGCCGCCCGGGGAGGGGCCCGCGGCCGAUUAGCUAGUAGGUGGGGUAAUGGCCCACCUAGGCGACGAUCGGUAGCUGGUCUGAGAGGAUGAUCAGCCACACUGGUACUGAGACACGGACCAGACUCCUACGGGAGGCAGCAGUGGGGAAUAUUGCGCAAUGGGCGAAAGCCUGACGCAGCGACGCCGCGUGGGUGAUGAAGGCCUUCGGGUCGUAAAGCCCUGUCAGGUGGGAAGAACCCUCCUCUUUAUGGGAGCUGACGGUACCACCAGAGGAAGCACCGGCUAACUCCGUGCCAGCAGCCGCGGUAACACGGAGGGUGCGAGCGUUGUUCGGAAUUACUGGGCGUAAAGGGCGCGUAGGCGGCCUGUCGCGUCUGAUGUGAAAGCCCGGGGCUCAACCCCGGAAGGGCAUCGGAAACGGGCAGGCUUGAGUCCGGAAGAGGAGGGCAGAAUUCCCGGUGUAGGGGUGAAAUCCGUAGAUAUCGGGAGGAAAACCAGUGGCGAAGGCGGCCCUCUGGGACGAGACUGACGCUGAGGCGCGAAAGCGUGGGGAGCAAACAGGAUUAGAGACCCUGGUAGUCCACGCCGUAAACGAUGGGUGCUUGGU